RNAcentral lists this ribosomal RNA (595 nucleotides) under Pseudozyma hubeiensis. RNAcentral's name for it is "partial large subunit ribosomal RNA". It matches the Rfam family "Eukaryotic large subunit ribosomal RNA", at positions 84 to 660 of the family's 3401-position model. Lineage: Eukaryota; Fungi; Basidiomycota; Ustilaginomycetes; Ustilaginales; Ustilaginaceae. The record is from RNAcentral.
UAACGGCGAGUGAAGAGGGAAGAGCCCAAGAUUGAAAGCUGGCGCCUUCGGCGUCCGCAUUGUAAUCUCAAGAAGUGUUUUCCGCUUCGGACCAUGCCUAAGUCCCUUGGAAAAGGGCAUCAUAGAGGGUGAUAAUCCCGUACAUGGCAUGGAGCGCCCGAAGCUUUGUGAUACGCUUUCUAAGAGUCGAGUUGUUUGGGAAUGCAGCUCAAAAUGGGUGGUAAAUGCCAUCUAAGGCUAAAUAUUGGGGAGAGACCGAUAGCGAACAAGUACAGUGAUGGAAAGAUGAAAAGAACUUUGAAAAGAGAGUUAAACAGUACGUGAAAUUGCCAAAAGGGAAGGGUAGGAGGUCAGAGAUGCGUCGCAGGAUUCAGCCUUGCUUUUGCUUGGUGUUUUUCCUGCGUUGCAGGCCAACGUCGGUUUUGGGCACUGGAGAAGGGUAGGAGGAACGUGGCACCUCUCGGGGUGUGUUAUAGCCUCCUACUGGAUACAGCGACCGAGACCGAGGAACGCAGCGUACUCGUAAGAGCGGGCCUUUUGGCACCUUUACGCUUAGGGCGUUGGCAUAAUGGCCCUCUACCACCCGUCUUGAAAC